ACGUGAGUAACCUGCCCUUCACUCUGGGAAACUCCGGGAAACCGGGGCUAAUACUGGAUACGACCCGAACAGGCAUCUGUAUCGGGUGGAAAGAUUUAUUGGUGGGGGAUGGACUCGCGGCCUAUCAGCUUGUUGGUGAGGUAAUGGCUCACCAAGGCGACGACGGGUAGCCGGCCUGAGAGGGCGAUCGGCCACACUGGGACUGAGACACGGCCCAGACUCCUACGGGAGGCAGCAGUGGGGAAUAUUGCACAAUGGGCGAAAGCCCGAUGCAGCGACGCCGCGUGAGGGAUGAAGGCCUUCGGGUUGUAAACCUCUUUCAGCAGGGAAGAAGCGCUUGGGUUUUCUCAGGCGUGACGGUACCUGCAGAAGAAGCACCGGCUAACUACGUGCCAGCAGCCGCGGUAAUACGUAGGGUGCAAGCGUUGUCCGGAAUUAUUGGGCGUAAAGAGCUUGUAGGCGGUUUGUCGCGUCUGCUGUGAAAUUUCGGGGCUCAACCCCGAACUUGCAGUGGGUACGGGCAGACUAGAGUGUGGUAGGGGAGACUGGAAUUCCUGGUGUAGCGGUGAAAUGCGCAGAUAUCAGGAGGAACACCGAUGGCGAAGGCAGGUCUCUGGGCCACUACUGACGCUGAGAAGCGAAAGCAUGGGGAGCGAACAGGAUUAGAUACCCUGGUAGUCCAUGCCGUAAACGUUGGGAACUAGGUGUGGGCC
RNAcentral lists this ribosomal RNA (713 nucleotides) under uncultured Intrasporangiaceae bacterium. RNAcentral describes it as "bacterial SSU rRNA". It matches the Rfam family "Bacterial small subunit ribosomal RNA", at positions 115 to 828 of the family's 1533-position model. The record is from RNAcentral. Lineage: Bacteria; Bacillati; Actinomycetota; Actinomycetes; Micrococcales; Intrasporangiaceae.